RNAcentral lists this ribosomal RNA (390 nucleotides) under uncultured bacterium. RNAcentral describes it as "bacterial SSU rRNA". It matches the Rfam family "Bacterial small subunit ribosomal RNA", at positions 28 to 417 of the family's 1533-position model. The record is from RNAcentral.
GACGAACGCUGGCGGCGUGCUUAACACAUGCAAGUCGAGCGGUAAGGCCCUUUCGGGGGUACGACGAGCGGCGAACGGGUGAGUAACACGUGGGUGACCUGCCCUUAGCUCUGGGAUAAGCCUGGGAAACUGGGUCUAAUACCGGAUAUGACUCCAUGACGCAUGUUGUGGGGUGGAAAGCCUUGUGCGGCUAGGGAUGGGCCCGCGGCCUAUCAGCUUGUUGGUGGGGUGAUGGCCACCAAGGCGACGACGGGUAGCCGGCCUGAGAGGGCGACCGGCCACACUGGGACUGAGACACGGCCCAGACUCCUACGGGAGGGCAGCAGUGGGGAAUCUUGCGCAAUGGGCGGAAAGCCUGACGCAGCGACGCCGCGUGAGGGAUGACGGCCU